AUUGAACGCUGGCGGCAGGCCUAACACAUGCAAGUCGAGCGGAUGAAGGGAGCUUGCUCCUGGAUUCAGCGGCGGACGGGUGAGUAAUGCCUAGGAAUCUACCUGGUAGUGGGGGAUAACGUCCGGAAACGGGCGCUAAUACCGCAUACGUCCUGAGGGAGAAAGUGGGGGAUCUUCGGACCUCACGCUAUCAGAUGAGCCUAGGUCGGAUUAGCUAGUUGGUGGGGUAAAGGCCUACCAAGGCGACGAUCCGUAACUGGUCUGAGAGGAUGAUCAGUCACACGGGAAGUGAGACACAGUGCGGGCUCCUUCGGGAGGCAGCCGUGGGGAAUAUGGGAAGAUGGGCGAAAGACUGAUACAGCCAUGCCGCGGGUGUGAAGAAGGUCUUGGGAUUGUAAAGCACUUUAAGUUGGAAGAAAGGGCAAUAAGUUAAUACCUUGCUGGUUAGACGUUACCAACAGAAUAAGCACCGGCUAACUUCGUG
This 484-nucleotide ribosomal RNA is filed under the name uncultured bacterium. RNAcentral describes it as "partial 16S ribosomal RNA". It matches the Rfam family "Bacterial small subunit ribosomal RNA", at positions 30 to 507 of the family's 1533-position model. The record is from RNAcentral.